UGGGGAAUUUUGGACAAUGGGCGAAAAGCCUGAUCCAGCAAUGCCGCGUGUGUGAAGAAGGCCUUCGGGUUGUAAAGCACUUUUGUCCGGAAAGAAAUCCUUGGCUCUAAUACAGUCGGGGGAUGACGGUACCGGAAGAAUAAGCACCGGCUAACUACGUGCCAGCAGCCGCGGUAAUACGUAGGGUGCAAGCGUUAAUCGGAAUUACUGGGCGUAAAGCGUGCGCAGGCGGUUUGCUAAGACCGAUGUGAAAUCCCCGGGCUCAACCUGGGAACUGCAUGGUGACUGGCAGGCUAGAGUAUGGCAGAGGGGGGUAGAAUUCCACGUGUAGCAGUGAAAUGCGUAGAGAUGUGGAGGAAUACCGAUGGCGAAGGCAGCCCCCUGGGCCAAUACUGACGCUCAUGCACGAAAGCGUGGGGAGCAAACAGGAUUAGAUACCCUGGUAGUCCACGCCCUAAACGAUGUCAACUAGUUGUUGGGGAUUCAUUUUCCUUAGUAACGUAGCUAACGCGUGAAGUUGACCGCCUGGGGAGUACGUCGCAAGAUUAAAACUCAAAGGAAUUG
Molecule: ribosomal RNA, 564 nt
Filed under: uncultured bacterium
Lineage: Bacteria
Description: partial 16S ribosomal RNA
Rfam family: Bacterial small subunit ribosomal RNA
Source: RNAcentral